RNAcentral lists this ribosomal RNA (969 nucleotides) under Triticum aestivum (bread wheat). RNAcentral describes it as "partial small subunit ribosomal RNA". The record is from RNAcentral. Lineage: Eukaryota; Viridiplantae; Streptophyta; Magnoliopsida; Poales; Poaceae.
AUGAAAAAUGCUACCUGCUCUAUCGUGUCCUGGAAUGUUCGCGGGUUAGGAGAUAAUGAUAAGUGUACCAAUGUGUUCUCUGAAAUCAACCUCUUGCGCCCAUCUAUAUCCCUUCUUCAAGAAACCAAAUUACAAAAACCAGAUACGAUCAAAUUACGAUCAAUAUUGACACGCUUCCUUGACUCUAACAACCACCUCGGCGCAAUCGGAACUGCGGGUGGCAUUCUUUCGGCUACUAACUCACGCCGCUUCUCGCUUCUCAAUUGCCAACAUAGGCAUUUCACAUCUACAUUAACGCUAUCAUGUCUUGCAUCGCCACACAACAUCUUCAUCACUAACGUUUACGCCCCCUCGCAAAGAGAUCUAAAGCUAUUUUUCCUCGACGAACUCAAGCAAAUCGAACCACCAACUCAAUCCCCCUGGCUCCUAAUCGAUGACUUUAACCUUACUCGAUUCCCCAAUGAACGCAACAACAACAAUUUCCAACGAUCGGAGGCAGACGCAUUCAAUGACACCAUUGAUCAACUUGCUCUCUUAGAGCUCCCACUCCUUGACAGAGAAUUUACAUGGUCAAAUAAAAGACUAUCUCCCACGCUAAUUCGCCUAGAUAGAGUACUGAUCAACCUAUCUUGGGAUGCUCUUUUCCCCAACUCACACCUCACUUCUCUCACUAGAUUUGUGUCUGAUCACGUUCCACUCCUAGUUACUGUAUCCACGUCCAUCCCAUCUUCCCGCCUUUUUCGAUUUGAACGCUUCUGGACUUCGUUCCCAGCCUGUUCCAACAUAGAGCGUGACUGCUGGCAGCCCAACCCACAACGCCAUAAUGGGCUUCCCGCAGAUCCUGCUGCUUCUCUCGCUCAAAACCUUAAAGGUACAAGAUCGGCCCUAAAAUCUUGGGCCAAAACGCUGUGGCCCAUCUACCAACGGGAAACAAAUUGCAAACUAGUGAAAGUGCGUUAUAUCGACUAG